UGGUUCUGGCAUCGAUGAAGAACGCAGCGAAAUGCGAUAAGUAAUGUGAAUUGCAGAAUUCAGCGAAUCAUCGAAUCUUUGAACGCACAUUGCGCCCGCUAGUAUUCUGGCGGGCAUGCCUGUUCGAGCGUCGUUUCAACCCUCAGGCCCAGCCUGGUGUUGGGGCCACCGGAUCUGUUUCCGGUGCCCUGAAAUACAGUGGCGGGCCCAGUCGUAACCCGAGCGCAGUAAUUUCUCUCGCUUAGGGGCACGGCCGGCGCCUUGCCUUGCAAAGAAUUUAUUCUUGGUUGACCUCGGAUCAGGUAGGAAUACCCGCUGA
RNAcentral lists this unclassified non-coding RNA (319 nucleotides) under uncultured fungus. RNAcentral describes it as "partial contains 5.8S ribosomal RNA and internal transcribed spacer 2". The stretch from base 1 to 133 matches the Rfam family "5.8S ribosomal RNA", at positions 22 to 154 of the family's 154-position model. The record is from RNAcentral. Lineage: Eukaryota; Fungi.